ACACUGAUCAGGCAGGCAGCAGGGUGAAGCUCAUGCCCUGCACUCUGGGUGUGUGAUUUCCACAAAUAUGGGAAACUUGAUUGCAUCAUUUGUGGUAGCGGGGGACUGUGUUCACACUUUCCCCUG
Small nuclear RNA from Antrostomus carolinensis (chuck-will's-widow), 126 nucleotides. RefSeq annotates it as U1 spliceosomal RNA. The transcript has a single exon. The record is from RefSeq and is a predicted model, not a curated record. Lineage: Eukaryota; Metazoa; Chordata; Aves; Caprimulgiformes; Caprimulgidae.